This 86-nucleotide small nucleolar RNA is filed under the name Punica granatum (pomegranate). Its description in RNAcentral is "Small nucleolar RNA R11/Z151". It matches the Rfam family "Small nucleolar RNA R11/Z151". From Rfam's summary of the family: snoR11/Z151 is a member of the C/D class of snoRNA which contain the C (UGAUGA) and D (CUGA) box motifs. Most of the members of the box C/D family function in directing site-specific 2'-O-methylation of substrate RNAs. The record is from Rfam by way of RNAcentral. Lineage: Eukaryota; Viridiplantae; Streptophyta; Magnoliopsida; Myrtales; Lythraceae.
GGGCUUGUGAUGAGAAUUCAAAUUAUCUUAGCGGAUUUCAGUGAGAUUUCAUGUCUAUGAUCUGAUUGUUACACACACUGAAGCCU